CAGCAGCCGCGGGAAUACGAAGGGUGCAAGCGUUAAUCGGAAUUACUGGGCGUAAAGCGCGCGUAGGUGGUUUGGUAAGAUGGAUGUGAAAUCCCCGGGCUCAACCUGGGAACUGCAUCCAUAACUGCCUGACUAGAGUACGGUAGAGGGUGGUGGAAUUUCCUGUGUAGCGGUGAAAUGCGUAGAUAUAGGAAGGAACACCAGUGGCGAAGGCGACCACCUGGACUGAUACUGACACUGAGGUGCGAAAGCGUGGGGAGCAAACAGGAUUAGAUACCCCUGUAGUCCCUGUCUCUUAUAA
This 301-nucleotide ribosomal RNA is filed under the name uncultured bacterium. Its description in RNAcentral is "partial 16S ribosomal RNA". It matches the Rfam family "Bacterial small subunit ribosomal RNA", at positions 509 to 809 of the family's 1533-position model. The record is from RNAcentral.